This 393-nucleotide ribosomal RNA is filed under the name uncultured fungus. RNAcentral describes it as "partial small subunit ribosomal RNA". It matches the Rfam family "Eukaryotic small subunit ribosomal RNA", at positions 30 to 428 of the family's 1831-position model. The record is from RNAcentral. Lineage: Eukaryota; Fungi.
GCUUGUCUCAAAGAUUAAGCCAUGCAUGUCUUAGUGUAAAUAACUCUUAUGAAACUGCGAAUGGCUCAUUAAAUCAGUUAUCAAAUACGUGAUGGUCGCCUACUACAUGGAUAACCGUAGUAAUUCUAGAGCUAAUACAUGCACAAAGGCCCAUUCACGUGGGUUGUGAUUAUUAGAUCAAAACCAAACGGCUUCGGCCGUCUCAUUGGUGACUCUGAAUAACUUUGGGCUGAUCGUAUGGCCUUGUGCCGACGACGUUUCCUUCGAAGGUGUGCCCUAUCAACUGUCGACUGUGAUAUAGACGCUCACAGUGGUUUUGACGGGUAACGGGGAAUCAGGGUUCGAUUCCGGAGAGGGAGCCUUAAAAACGGCUACCACAUCCAAGGAAGGCAG